RNAcentral lists this ribosomal RNA (253 nucleotides) under uncultured bacterium. RNAcentral's name for it is "partial 16S ribosomal RNA". It matches the Rfam family "Bacterial small subunit ribosomal RNA", at positions 524 to 776 of the family's 1533-position model. The record is from RNAcentral.
UACGGAGGGUGCGAGCGUUGUCCGGAAUCACUGGGCGUAGAGGGCGCGUAGGCGGCGCGGGAAGUCAUCGGUGAAAGUUCAGGGCUCAACUCUGAAUCGGCCGGUGAUACUCUCGUGCUCGAGCACUGUAGAGGCAGGUGGAAUUCCGGGUGUAGCGGUGGAAUGCGUAGAGAUCCGGAAGAACACCGGUGGCGAAGGCGGCCUGCUGGGCAGUAGCUGACGCUGAUGCGCGACAGCGUGGGGAGCAAACAGG